RNAcentral lists this ribosomal RNA (496 nucleotides) under uncultured Desulfobulbus sp. Its description in RNAcentral is "bacterial SSU rRNA". It matches the Rfam family "Bacterial small subunit ribosomal RNA", at positions 892 to 1382 of the family's 1533-position model. The record is from RNAcentral. Lineage: Bacteria; Pseudomonadati; Thermodesulfobacteriota; Desulfobulbia; Desulfobulbales; Desulfobulbaceae.
CGAAGAAACUUAAAUAGAAGUUGACGGGGCCGCGACAGGCGGUGGAGUAUGUGGUUAAUUCGAUGCAACGCGAAGGAACCUUACCUGGUCUUGACAUCCCGGAGACCCUUAGGAAACUAGGGGUGCUUCCAUCUGGAAGAAUCUGGAGACAGGUGCUGCAUGGCUGUCGUCAGCUCGUGUCGUGAGAUGUUGGGUUAAGUCCCGCAACGAGCGCAACCCUUGCCUUUAGUUGCCAGCAGUUCGGCUGGGCACUCUAAAGGGACUGCCGGUGUUAAACCGGAGGAAGGUGGGGAUGACGUCAAGUCCUCAUGGCCUUUAUGACCAGGGCUACACACGUACUACAAUGGCCGAUACAAAGGGCAGCGACACUGCGAGGUGAAGCCAAUCCCGUAAAAUCGGUCUCAGUCCGGAUUGGAGUCUGCAACUCGACUCCAUGAAGUUGGAAUCGCUAGUAAUCGUGGAUCAGCAUGCCACGGUGAAUACGUUCCCGGGCCUU